GGAGGCGUGGCAGAGCGGUCGAAUGCAGCACACUGCUAAUGUGUUGUCCGGGAAACUGGACCGGAGGUUCGAAUCCUCCCGCCUCCG
This 87-nucleotide transfer RNA is filed under the name Patescibacteria group bacterium. Its description in RNAcentral is "tRNA-Ser". It matches the Rfam family "tRNA". From Rfam's summary of the family: Transfer RNA (tRNA) molecules are approximately 80 nucleotides in length. Their secondary structure includes four short double-helical elements and three loops (D, anti-codon, and T loops). Further hydrogen bonds mediate the characteristic L-shaped molecular structure. tRNAs have two regions of fundamental functional importance: the anti-codon, which is responsible for specific mRNA codon recognition, and the 3' end, to which the tRNAs corresponding amino acid is attached (by aminoacyl-tRNA synthetases). tRNAs cope with the degeneracy of the genetic code in two manners: having more than one tRNA (with a specific anti-codon) for a particular amino acid; and 'wobble' base-pairing, i.e. permitting non-standard base-pairing at the 3rd anti-codon position. The record is from RNAcentral.